Long non-coding RNA from Falco peregrinus (peregrine falcon), 500 nucleotides. RefSeq lists it as uncharacterized. The transcript has 2 exons. Lineage: Eukaryota; Metazoa; Chordata; Aves; Falconiformes; Falconidae. The record is from RefSeq and is a predicted model, not a curated record.
GCCUGCUCCAGGAUGCCGCAAGGGAGAACCCGUCCGGGUGCGGCCACCCAACCUCCUGCCAGCUCCGCUCACCCGCGCACCCACCGCCUCCGGAGAGGGACCCCGCACCCGAGCGGGGACAGGCGACGGCCAAGCACAGGCACCCGGGGAAAUCUGUCGACUUGGGAGACCGGAGGAUCCUCGCCGGGCUUCUGCGAUGAACGCCGUGAGCUGGGCACGACUCGCCGUGCUCUUGCUGCCACCGAGUUACGUUACCUAACCACGCUAGCUAACCACGCUAGCUAACCACGCUAGCUAACCACGACGGAGCGUCAGUUAACGGAGGCGAUGCCACUUCCCCACGACACAAGCCACCGCCGGCUCCAUCCCCGCCACCCUCCUCCCAGCCUUCCCAGAUCCCAGGCUAAGGAGGAAAGUUGACGGACCCUUUUGUUUCCAGAGAGCUGGCACGUGUUGUGGUUAACUGGGCUAAUAAAUCUGCCGUGGUCUGUGCCUUUUAA